Molecule: long non-coding RNA, 257 nt
Filed under: Dicentrarchus labrax (European seabass)
Lineage: Eukaryota; Metazoa; Chordata; Actinopteri; Moronidae
Description: lncRNA (ENSDLAG00005032691.1)
Source: RNAcentral
GCUGAGUUAGUUAGUUGUGUUAACUGGAUUGACAUCUCUGACCACUGGGGGGCGUGUUUGUGUUUACCGCAAGCACAGGAGCUUUAGAUCCCAGGUUUUCUUGCCACCGGGCAAAAAGCCAUUGGCCCGAAUUUGCAAAAUAAAAGACAGCAGACAACGUGCUGGCCUUUUUGCUGUUGGACAAGUUGAGAAACCCUGUGUGCUCCACCUGGGAUUAGAGGCAGGAACUGCUCUGUCUCCUAGUAGCGUCCCCCCAG